GUAGGUGAACCUGCGGAGGGAUCAUUCACAUGAUUUACUUUAAACAAACUGUGAACUUUAUAUACUAUUCGUGUAGAGAUAAUUUAUUUUCUUUUACACUGUCAUUCGAUGAACAUUAGAUAGCUGGCUCGUUUUUUUCAUUAAAAACUUUCUCAGCUGAUUUGUACUUGUUAGACUAAACAUCUAUUCAAUACAAUCAACCAAACAUAGAAACAACUCUAUGCCCUGGAUAUCUUGGUUCUC
Molecule: unclassified non-coding RNA, 243 nt
Filed under: rhizosphere metagenome
Description: partial ribosomal RNA internal transcribed spacer region
Source: RNAcentral